Molecule: ribosomal RNA, 497 nt
Filed under: uncultured bacterium
Lineage: Bacteria
Description: partial 16S ribosomal RNA
Rfam family: Bacterial small subunit ribosomal RNA
Source: RNAcentral
GAUGAACGCUGGCGGCGUGCCUAAUACAUGCAAGUCGAACGCACAGACCAGGGUCUUGCUCCUCUGACGUAGGCGGCGGACGGGUGAGUAACAUGUGGAUAACCUACCUAUAAGAAUGGGGUAACUUUGGGAAACCGGAGCUAAUACCGGAUAAUAUAUCGAACCGCAUGGUGCAAUAGUGAAAGUAGGUUUUGCUGUCACUUAUAGCUGGACACGGGCUGCAUUAGCUAGUUGGUAAGGUAACGGCUUAGCAAGGCUACGACGGGUAGCCGACCUGAGAGGGUGAUCCGCCACACUGGAACUGAGACAGGGUCCAGACACCGACGGGAGGCAGCAGUAGGGAAUCUUCCGCGAUGGGCGAGAGCCUGACGGAGCAACGCCGCGUGAGUGAUGAAGGUCUUCUGAUCGUAAAGCUCUGUUAUUAGGAGAGAACAAAUGUGUAAGUAACUGUGCACGUCUUGACGGUACCUAAUCAGAAAGCCACGGCUAACUACGUG